UUCGAAAUUUUCCUCGCCUUCUCCAGAAGGCCAAAAAAUUAUGAUUGUUUCCUUCACUCUUGCGCCCAAAACACUAGAGUUAGAGAGAAAUAGACUUUGAUUUUUCUGUCUUUUACACUUUUUUCCAAAUUUCUGUUUUGUCUCUCUCGAACUUUGUGAUAUAUCCUUAACUUUCUGUUUCCUGAUUCUCCUCCAACGUCACUUUUCAUCCCCAUAUUGACUGCCUUAGUAUACUUCAAGCUGUUGAUUUCUUGCUUCUCACCUGUCCUUGAAAUGGAACGGUUAAUGGAAGCUAGCCGAGCAGGAAAUAUAGAUGGUUUGUAUGUAGCGCUUCGAGAGAACGCUAAUGUUUUGGCUCAAAUUGAUGGUGCGCCAUUUGUGGAUACUCCAUUACACGCAGCUGCCUCUGCAGGACAUAUCCAAUAUGCCAUGGAGAUUAUGAGACUAAUGCCAUUAUUCGCUACAAAAUCAAACCAAGAUGGGUUCUGCCCCAUCCACCUUGCAUUGCGUAGUGGGUGUAUUCAGUUGGUGAUUUGGCUGGUAGAAAGGGACAGCGACCUUGUCCGUCUCAAAGGAAGGGAAGGCAUAACUCCUUUGCAUUAUGUAGCUGAGCAAGGAAAUCUUGAUCUCUUGGCCAGUUUUUUAUUAGUUUGUCCAAAAUCUAUCGAAGAUGUGACGAAUCGGAACGAGACUGCUCUGCAUAUUGCUCUCAAAAACGAUAAGUUUGAAGCUUUUGAUUUCCUGGUUGGUAGGCUUCAUUGCCACUGGGUCUGCCAUGAAGAGGCCCGUUACUGGGAGAAAAGGAUCCUCAACAGGAAGGAUGAGACAGGCAACACC
This 837-nucleotide unclassified non-coding RNA is filed under the name Hevea brasiliensis (rubber tree). The record is from RNAcentral. Lineage: Eukaryota; Viridiplantae; Streptophyta; Magnoliopsida; Malpighiales; Euphorbiaceae.